CCUGUCUCGGACACUCCACUAGAACUCCCCGGCCAUAUCUCCAGCUCUUUGAAAAGGGGAAACCAAUAAGAUUAAAUCGGACAAAGAUUUUUUUUCUGUAAGUGUAUCAUUAAGAUUUAACUCCACAGAUUGGAAAGGGGCUCCGCGGGAGAAGAGGACAGCAGCGAGAGGGGCAGCGAAUGGGAGCAGGGUAGGGGUUCUAAUAGAAAGCUGGGAAACGGCGAGAGAAAAAGGAAAAAGUGGACAGCAGGACAUUAAAAGAAGAAGCACCGGCCACGACGGUUACAAGAAGAGGAGCAGCCUUCAACCUGGAUUAAACCAGACACCAAUAAGGCAAAGAGCAACAUGGCGGCCAGGUGUUCAGAAACACAGCGGGACGUGUUGGUGUGGUGCAAGGACUGACAAUGGGAUGAGAUCCGAGUCAGUUUCCCCUCAGAUGUUCCCUUUGACCUUUGACCCAACAGUUGGGGUCAAGCCCUGACAAAUGAGAUGGUCGAGUUUUGGCCAGAACUGCAAACAUUCCACAACAAUCUUCUGUCCUCCUCCUCCUCCUCCUCCUCCGCUCUUCUCAUAUCCGUCACUCCGGUAUGUCUCCUACACGAGGGGAGGGAGAAAGUUCUCAUUACAUGCAAACAUGUUUUAUUGAAUUUGCUGUGGGAAUCUUAAAACACACACCCUUGGAAUUAAGAAUUACGGCAUCGGUUAAAUUUAAUAUCCCCAACAUCUGCUUUAUUUACUAAAGGAAAGAAAACAAAAAGGGUAUGAACAUAGGAUAAAGAUAUGUGUUAAAGAUUUAGAUUUUAUAGCCCUGCACUUUGAAAGCAAACUGUGUGUUUGGAAAGCUUGUCAGUGAUGUCAAGGAUGAGAAAUGUUGCAGUGUGGUUUUUUACACACACUGCUGGCUCUAGCAUUUCCGGCAACAUUUCUCACUCUGCCUCCCUCACACCAUCCGCGCUGCUGCAAUAUCCCCACAUUUUCCCAUCCUUUCACUUCUUCCCCUUCCUCCCCCUCCUCCGUCUCUGAUCGCCUCGUCUCCACUCUAUGACCACUCUUGCCCCCGUUACCCUUCCUGCACCACCCUGCUCAAUCUCAGCCUCUCCCUCCCUUCGCUCACCUCCCAGCACAUUCACUCACUCCCCCCUUUUCCUCUACCCACUAUUUUCUCUGUUUUUCUAACCUGUCGUUCCACAGAAUGCUACCACCUGUGUCUUUAGAGGCAAAAAGGAGGGGGGGGGGGGCUAUUGGUAUUCCUUUUUGGAAAGCUGGUUAAGGUAAGUGGCACCCUCUAUUACAAUGACACGGUAAAUUAUGGUGCUGCCAGUUGUGUUUCUGCAUUACAUUUUUUUUUUCAUGGAAAGACCCCGGCUUCCUAAGCAUCACCAUCCUCUAUCAAAGCUCUAGCUACAAGUCACUGCUGUAAAAACACACACGGUCACCAUUGAUGAACAACAGCAGAGCAACCUCAGUGCCACAAAGGAGCCUGGAGACCAACAAAGCCGGCUGAUACAGUAACAGAGUGGAUCAUACUCUUGAAAUUGCUUUCAUAAUGAUGUAAUAUUACUAAAAGGCAAUGCAACACAGCAAAGAUCUUAAUAAAAACACAUCAAUCUCAA
Molecule: long non-coding RNA, 1613 nt
Organism: Eleginops maclovinus (Patagonian blennie)
Lineage: Eukaryota; Metazoa; Chordata; Actinopteri; Perciformes; Eleginopidae
Exons: 3
Source: RefSeq, a predicted model, not a curated record